GACGAACGCUGGCGGCGUGCCUAAUACAUGCAAGUUGAGCGCUGAAGGUUGGUACUUGUACCAACUGGAUGAGCAGCGAACGGGUGAGUAACGCGUAGGGAAUCUGCCUUUGAGCGGGGGACAACAUUUGGAAACGAAUGCUAAUACCGCAUAAAAACUUUAAACACAAGUUUUAAGUUUGAAGGAUGCAAUUGCAUCACUCAAAGAUGAUCCCGCGUUGUAUUAGCUAGUUGGUGAGGUAAAGGCUCACCAAGGCGAUGAUACAUAGCCGACCUGAGAGGGUGAUCGGCCACAUUGGGACUGAGACACGGCCCAAACUCCUACGGGAGGCAGCAGUAGGGAAUCUUCGGCAAUGGACGAAAGUCUGACCGAGCAACGCCGCGUGAGUGAAGAAGGUUUUCGGAUCGUAAAACUCUGUUGGUAGAGAAGAACGUUGGUGAGAGUGGAAAGCUCAUCAAGUGACGGUAACUACCCAGAAAGGGACGGCUAACUACGUG
RNAcentral lists this ribosomal RNA (497 nucleotides) under uncultured bacterium. RNAcentral describes it as "partial 16S ribosomal RNA". It matches the Rfam family "Bacterial small subunit ribosomal RNA", at positions 28 to 507 of the family's 1533-position model. The record is from RNAcentral.